UACGUAGGUGGCAAGCGUUGUCCGGAUUUAUUGGGCGUAAAGGGCGUGCAGGCGGUUUGUUAAGUCUAGGGUGAAAGCUCCCGGCUCAACUGGGAGAGGUCCUUGGAUACUGGCGAACUUGAGGGAUGCAGAGGAAAGUGGAAUUCCCGGUGUAGUGGUGAUAUGCGUAGAUAUCGGGAGGAACACCAGUGGCGAAGGCGGCUUUCUGGGCAUUUCCUGACGCUGAGACGCGAAAGCGUGAGGAGCGAACCGG
RNAcentral lists this ribosomal RNA (253 nucleotides) under uncultured bacterium. RNAcentral describes it as "partial 16S ribosomal RNA". It matches the Rfam family "Bacterial small subunit ribosomal RNA", at positions 524 to 776 of the family's 1533-position model. The record is from RNAcentral.